GUGCCAGCAGCCGCGGUAAUACAGAGGGAGCAAGCGUUAUCCGGAAUGAUUGGGCGUAAAGCGUCUGUAGGUGGUCGAAAAAGUCAACUGUCAAAUCCCAAGGCUCAACCUUGGCUGGGCAGUCGAGUACUUUUUGACUUGAGUGCGGUAGAGGUAGAGGGAAUCCCUAGCGUAACAGUGAAAUGUGUAGAUUUUAGGGAGAACACCAGCGGCGAAGGCGCUCUACUGGGCCGAGACUGACACUGAGAGACGAAAGCUAAGGGAGCGAAUAGGAUUAGAUACCCUAGUAGUCC
Molecule: ribosomal RNA, 293 nt
Filed under: uncultured bacterium
Lineage: Bacteria
Description: partial 16S ribosomal RNA
Rfam family: Bacterial small subunit ribosomal RNA
Source: RNAcentral